RNAcentral lists this ribosomal RNA (448 nucleotides) under uncultured bacterium. Its description in RNAcentral is "bacterial SSU rRNA". It matches the Rfam family "Bacterial small subunit ribosomal RNA", at positions 329 to 792 of the family's 1533-position model. The record is from RNAcentral.
UUCCAGACUCCUACGGGAGGCAGCAGUGGGGAAUAUUGGGCAAUGGGCGCAAGCCUGACCCAGCAACGCCGCGUGAAGGAAGAAGGCUUUCGGGUUGUAAACUUCUUUUAAGAGGGAAGAGUAGAAGACGGUACCUCUUGAAUAAGCCACGGCUAACUACGUGCCAGCAGCCGCGGUAAUACGUAGGUGGCAAGCGUUGUCCGGAAUUACUGGGUGUAAAGGGAGCGCAGGCGGAUUGACAAGUUGGGAGUGAAAACUACGGGCUCAACCCGUAACCUGCUUUCAAAACUGUCAGUCUUGAGUGGUGUAGAGGUAGGCGGAAUUCCCGGUGUAGCGGUGGAAUGCGUAGAUAUCGGGAGGAACACCAGUGGCGAAGGCGGCCUACUGGGCACUAACUGACGCUGAGGCUCGAAAGCAUGGGUAGCAAACAGGAUUAGAUACCCGAGUA